GACGAACCGUGCAAACGUUGUUCGGAAUCACUGGGCUUAAAGGGCGCGUAGGCGGCUUGCCAAGUCAGGGGUGAAAUCUUUCGGCUCAACCGGAAAAGUGCCUCUGAUACUGGCGAGCUAGAGGGAGGUAGGGGCAUGUGGAACUUCCGGUGGAGCGGUGAAAUGCGUUGAUAUCGGAAGGAACGCCGGUGGCGAAAGCGACGUGCUGGAUCUCUUCUGACGCUGAGGCGCGAAAGCUAGGGGAGCGAACGGG
This 253-nucleotide ribosomal RNA is filed under the name uncultured bacterium. Its description in RNAcentral is "partial 16S ribosomal RNA". It matches the Rfam family "Bacterial small subunit ribosomal RNA", at positions 524 to 776 of the family's 1533-position model. The record is from RNAcentral.